AACGGGUAAGCUAAGAUAGAAUAGGGUUUGCUAGGAUGAAAAUGGCAAGGACAUGAUAGGAUAAGGUAGUAUAGGAACGGCUAAUAUGAGAUAGAAUAAGAUAAGGUAGGAUAAAAAUGGCUAAGGUAUGAUAGAAUAGGCCAAGAUAGGAUAGGAAUGGCUAAGGUAAGAUAUAAUAGGAUAAGGUAGGAUAGGAAUGGUUAAGGUAUGAUAGAAUAGGCCAAGAUAGGAUAGGAAUGGCUAAGGUAAGAUAUAAUAGGAUAAGGUAGGAUAGGAAUGGUUAAGGUAUGAUAGAAUAGGCCAAGAUAGGAUAGGAAUGGCUAAGGUAAGAUAUAAUAGGAUAAGGUAGGAUAGGAAUGGUUAAGGUAUGAUAGAAUAGGCCAAGAUAGGAUAGGAAUGGCUAAGGUAAGAUAUAAUAGGAUAAGGUAGUAUAGGAACGGCUAAUAUGAGAUAGAAUAAGAUAAGGUAGGAUAAAAAUGGCUAAGGUAUGAUAGAAUAGGCCAAGAUAGGAU
Long non-coding RNA from Brienomyrus brachyistius, 512 nucleotides. RefSeq lists it as uncharacterized. The record is from RefSeq and is a predicted model, not a curated record. The transcript is spliced from 5 exons. NCBI's taxonomy places the organism in Eukaryota, Metazoa, Chordata, Actinopteri, Osteoglossiformes, Mormyridae.